This is a non-coding RNA of Glycine soja, 161 nucleotides long. Lineage: Eukaryota; Viridiplantae; Streptophyta; Magnoliopsida; Fabales; Fabaceae. The record is from Rfam.
AUACUUACCUGGAUGGGGUCAAUGGGUGAUCAUUUAGGCCCAUGGCCUAGGCUGGUGACUUCCAUUGCACACAGGAAGGGUGUCAGUCUAAGGUCUCCCCAAGUGGGAGAGCCUACAUCAUAAUUUGUGGUAGUGGGGGCUUGCGUUCGCGCAGCCCCUUC